UUUCAGAAAUCAGUGCUGCUGUGAAUUGGAUUUCCCUGCCUUGGAUGGAAGAUAUAAUUUCGAGAGAGGAUGAGUUCUACUUGACAGCUAUAAUUAUCCCAAUUUCUGGAUUCAGUGAUUUCUCAUUCAGUCCUUCACCUGCCUGCACCCAGACUUGCGACUGAGCAGCAACGUGCAUGUCCUGGAAGCUCGAGACCGUGAUCUUGGUGCCACAGAGUCGUACGGCUUCUCGGACGCGAUGAAACAACGACCUAAGGGAGAGCAGCACCGGAGCGCGCUUGCCUGCACGGGGUUGGUCUCCCGCGAGGACGGCAAGAGUUCCCUGCUGGGCUGACACCAGCAGUUACGGGAGGUGCGACGCUUCCUUCGUGGCAGUCCAGAAAAGGAGGCGGCCCAGACCUUCGCGUGGCUCCGGGGUGGUAGCACCAGCAGCGAGUGAGGGGUCCUCGGGACUCGUAACAGCACUAACUCCACCUGGUCCUGGUUUCUGUGACAGGCAAAAGCAGCUCUGCUGCUGUAACCUCUCUCCUGGUCCUGGAGUGAUCCCAUCCCGGCGGGAAGAGGCGGUCUUCCCGUUGCACCCCACCAUGCCUCCAAAUGACGUGGUUUGCAAUAGGGGUGAGAAGCGACGGCGCCGAGAGCUGCGGGUUGCAGCUGGGUGCAGCGGCCGCGGCACGGCCGACCCUCCGGGACGCCGCGGCCCCUCCGCUCCCCGAGCUCCUCCGAGCGACGGCAGAGCACGGCGCGCUGUCACCGUGCUGCGUGGAAGACGGCCCAAACGUGUCGGUUUUCCCGCGCGCCAGUCUGCUUCCAGCUUUUCCAAGGGAAGGUUUCCAUUAAGAUCAAGCACGUUCCCUUGCAGCGCAGAGACAUCUCAUCUCCGUGCGUUUCCUCUCUUCACAGCGUUUCCAGCCUGUAUUUUCUUCAGCGGCCACAUCUUGCGGGUUUGAUGCAUUUAGUGCAAUGUUACGUUUUAUUAUACAAACGUGUAAACACAGCAGUAAUGGGCUGUGCUGGUGAUGGUACGGCAGAAUGCAAACCAGACUAUACCCUCUGUGAACCGGUUUCGUUCACGCGGGAUAGGGCUCCUUCUGGACGUCCAGCACCCGUGAGCAGACGCUCUCGAAGUCCCCAGCGUUUCGUGCUGUUCAGGAGGCCCUCGGAGAAGCAGCGCGGAAUAAAAUCCUGUUCCGCUUUUAGGCGGGGGAAAUGUUUUCUUUCAUCUCUUGCAGUGGCAGAAUUGGUCCAUCAAGCACGGGAUCAAUGGCAAGCCAAAAGCUGCGUUUCAAACGUGACAGAGGCUUCUAAUAAAUCACCUUUCAUCUGGUUUCAUCAAAGGGUUUUCAAAGGUGCCUAAGAAUUACUGCAGCCAGAGCUGUGCCGGGGAAAAGCGGCCAGUUUCCAUGAGGAAUCUUGAAGAAAAGGGAAAAUCUCACCAUUUCCAAGUAGAGUUCAGAGUCUUCCCCGAUUUGUUGGAAACAAAACAAAAAGUGGACGCGACCCCGCAGCGAGCAGCAACGUCCCCCAAAGGGCACGCUGGUGCCCCGGCGGAGGAACCGGGCUGUCGCCCAGGGCUCUUGUGCCUUGCAGGAAUGAAAUUUUCUGUGGAAGUUGCAUCCCCAGGCCUUUUACUUCUGAAAAAUCCCGUGCUUUCUCUCUAGUGCUCUGCUUCUUGCUUGUUAUUGUUAUUUUCAGCAACGCAGGGAUUUUUCUCUUCUGAACUUUGGGGGUUUCAUGCUAAAUUAGCACUCUUAUAACGUUCUUUGGCAUCUCUUCUCCCUAAUUCCUCGGAUCACCUUACACGAACGCAGCCCUAAGAAGUCAUUAGCGCAAUCCGAGAUGGUACCGAGGCCGUUCGCUCCCCGCGGCAGCGCGGAGCAGGGACGGGCAGCCGCUGGUUAGGUUCGGGGUUUCCUUUAUUUCUUCUGAAAGGUGCUAAGUGGGAAUCCUGGAGGACGAGGCCGCCGGUCCCUGGGCGGAGGGCCGCACCUCGCUGCCGGGACUUCCUCGGAAAACGCCCUGGCUCUGGCAGCCGCUGCGCCCCGUUGCACCCGGACGCGGGCUGAAACGACGGGGAUGCAGGUGGGAGCGAGGGAGUCACCGUCCGCGCAGCAAAACACCGGCAGCUUUGCCGCGGCGCCUGUCGUAAUGAAUCAUGGCAGAGCAGUAAUCUCUCAUUAGAACAUUCAGCACUAAUUGCUGGCAGAAUGCCACGUGCCUAUUUUCUCAUUUUAACAAAACAUUUAUGCAUGAAAGAUUUAAUGCCAGGUAUCAAGCAUAUCAUUGUAAAUUUACCACUAAUUAAGCCUAAUUAAAAUAAUUAAAUGGC
This is a long non-coding RNA of Dromaius novaehollandiae (emu), 2329 nucleotides long. RefSeq lists it as uncharacterized. NCBI's taxonomy places the organism in Eukaryota, Metazoa, Chordata, Aves, Casuariiformes, Dromaiidae. The record is from RefSeq and is a predicted model, not a curated record. The transcript has 3 exons.